GCGGGCACGCCUGGGACGUGGCGCCGACGUGGGAACCGAAGAGGAGUGACGCCUGUGGCAUCUUUCGCUGCUGUCACUUUCUCCCGCAUUUUGGGACAUGUUAGUUUUCCGUUACAGGUUUCGGGUUGUAUCUUUGGCGCCAAGGAAUUAUGGAUCUUGUUGCCCCGUUAGAUCGCUAUGCGCACAGCUCUCAAAGCGCUCUGAACCUUUCAAUGCAUCAUCUGC
This 225-nucleotide long non-coding RNA is filed under the name Elaeis guineensis (African oil palm). Its description in RNAcentral is "long non-coding RNA (EGUI_LNC012989)". The record is from RNAcentral. Lineage: Eukaryota; Viridiplantae; Streptophyta; Magnoliopsida; Arecales; Arecaceae.